ACUCAAAUGAAUUGACGGGGACCCGCACAAGCAGUGGAGUAUGUGGUUUAAUUCGAAGCAACGCGAAGAACCUUACCAGGUCUUGACAUCCCUCUGAACAUACUAGAGAUAGUAUGGGCCUUCGGGACAGAGGAGACAGGUGGUGCAUGGUUGUCGUCAGCUCGUGUCGUGAGAUGUUGGGUUAAGUCCCGCAACGAGCGCAACCCUUGAUCUUAGUUGCCAGCACUUCGGGUGGGCACUCUAAGAUGACUGCCGGUGACAAACCGGAGGAAGGCGGGGAUGACGUCAAAUCAUCAUGCCCCUUAUGACCUGGGCUACACACGUACUACAAUGGCCGGUACAACGGGCAGCAAAGGGGCGACCUGGAGCGAAUCCUUAAAAGCCGGUCUCAGUUCGGAUUGCAGGCUGCAACUCGCCUGCAUGAAGUCGGAAUUGCUAGUAAUCGCGGAUCAGCAUGCCGCGGUGAAUACGUUCCCGGGUCUUGUACACACCGCCCGU
Molecule: ribosomal RNA, 498 nt
Filed under: uncultured bacterium
Lineage: Bacteria
Description: partial 16S ribosomal RNA
Rfam family: Bacterial small subunit ribosomal RNA
Source: RNAcentral